Molecule: long non-coding RNA, 1617 nt
Organism: Cygnus olor (mute swan)
Lineage: Eukaryota; Metazoa; Chordata; Aves; Anseriformes; Anatidae
Exons: 2
Source: RefSeq, a predicted model, not a curated record
GUGGUUCCGUUCUGGAUGGAGGAGUGAAGGUUUGCACCUUCAGCCAGUAAUUGCAGCCAGCUUUCCAGCCCUCACCCUCGGGGAGCAGCCGAGGCACGGGGAGUUUUCAGCAUGGUUUGCGAAGAGUUUAUCUCGAAGCUUGUGCAAUGACUGGACUGGCUCCAUGCAGAAAUGGAUUUGGAACAGAGCAAAAAACCAGCAAGCCAGGAAAACAAACCUGGAGCUCGAGCGGAGCCCUGAUUGAUGACCUCGACUCCCAGGGCCUCUGGAGCCCGUCGGCACCGAGCUGGGAUUUCACCACGACAAGUUUCAUUAUGAGAUUCCCUGUACCGCCGGGGGAGGCAGGAGCCUCGUCGCACCAGCCUCUCCCACUGCAUUGCUGCGUCCUUUCCUCAGCCUUGGUGGUACUCUGCUUGAAAGAAAAAGGGAGAGCAGACGCUUGAGCUGGACAGGAGCGGGGUUUUCAGUUUCACUGGAAAGGCUGCACAUUCAGCCUUUUUUUUUCCACUCCAAAAUAAUACACGAACAAAAAUAAGAAGUUUCUCGUAAAACAGAACUGUUUGGGGGAGGAAAAAAAACACACCUCAAUUGGACUUGAAGGAAACAUUUUUUCAAUACAAUCACAAUACUUCAGUGCUAUUUUUACCCUCAGUAAAGCCUUCAGUGGGAAACGCAGAUGCUGCAGGAUGCUUCUGGGGAUGAGAUUCCACCUGGGGUGCUGCGCGCUGGAGGCUGCUAUGGCACCAGGCACGUAUCUGUGCUUGUUCCCUCAGUGCUGCUGCCUGGUUUCAAGGCAAAAGAAUAGGGCUGAAGCAAGGGGACGGGGGCUGUGGGGUGACCCCUGAUGCCUGUGCUGGCUUUGCUGCCAAAGCACCCUCAGCUCAGCCCCCUGAAGUGGGGAACACCGGAGUCUGAAGGCAGAGCUCUUGCCUGGGCUGCUUUAGGGUGGGAGAUGCUGAGACCCCAGUUUUGGGUCUGGUGAUGUGCUCACCUCCCCCUGUGCUCCCCAGCAGCUGCCCAGAUGUCUGCUCCGUCCCUUUGCACAACGAGCUCUUUGCACAACUGGGCCUCAAAUAUUUGGGUGAUGAGUGGCCAGAAGAAGGGCUGGGUGAUGAGUCCAUGCUCUGGACGAUUCCCAGCUCUACCAAGCUUGGGGGUGAUCCAGGGUUAAUUACAGCCCUGCUCUUCCCGAGGGGGGAAGGAAAACUUUUAUAGGGGAUGGGGGUGUGAGGAUACAGCCCCGGAGGACCAGUCCUGGAAUGUUUUUGGAAAUCUGAUGCUGCCUCCGAUGUUUCCCUGCUCAGCAGUUGACCAAGGGGAGCUGCAGUGCUGCGAGGAAGAGUUAACUCUUGCCUGGGAGUGCUGCAGCUGCCACAGGAGAGUGGCAAGGUUGGGUUAUUGGGUUAGUCCCUGCCUGGGCCAGCUGGGUGCUCGCCCACAGCUGGCAUGUGGAAGGAAGAAUAUGGCUUGGGGAAAGGGGAUAAAUCCUCCGGGUGCUUCCUGGAGAAGACAGAGACCCAGUCACAGUGGGAUCUUCAUUCCUUGAAAGAGGCUGAGAGGAGAAAAUGGGGCGAUUGUUUGCGAAGGGAAAAGCACAAAGCAGAUAAGAAAUGGGUU